GGUCUUAUAUUCAUAAGAGUAUGAUAUAAAAUUGCAAAUUUUAAGGAGUAAAUAUUUACUAAGGCUU
RNAcentral lists this transfer RNA (67 nucleotides) under Agrius convolvuli (morning glory sphinx moth). Its description in RNAcentral is "tRNA-Cys". The record is from RNAcentral. Lineage: Eukaryota; Metazoa; Arthropoda; Insecta; Lepidoptera; Sphingidae.